ACUGUCUCUAUUUAUCAUUACAGUAUCAGAUCUUCAGUCAGGUUAUAUAGUGCUGAUGUGUGUAGUGUUUGUUAUAGAUCAGACACACGUUCACACUAAUGACUGUCUCUAUUUAUCAUUACAGUAUCAGAUCUUCAGUCAGGUUAUAUAGUGCUGAUGUGUGUAGUGUUUGUUAUAGAUCAGACACACGUUCACACUAAUGACUGUCUCUAUUUAUCAUUACAGUAUCAGAUCUUCAGUCAGGUUAUAUAGUGCUGAUGUGUGUAGUGUUUGUUAUAGAUCAGACACACGUUCACACUAAUGACUGUCUCUAUCAUUACAGUAUCAGAUCUUCAGUCAGGUUAUAUAGUGCUGAUGUGUGUAGUGUUUGUUAUAGAUCAGACACACGUUCACACUAAUGACUGUCUCUAUUUGUCAUUACAGUAUCAGAUCUUCAGUCAGGUUAUAUAGUGCUGAUGUGUGUAGUGUUUGUUAUAGAUCAGACACACGUUCACACUAAUGACUGUCUCUAUUUAUCAUUACAGUAUCAGAUCUUCAGUCAGGUUAUAUAGUGCUGAUGUGUGUAGUGUUUGUUAUAGAUCAGACACACGUUCACACUAAUGACUGUCUCUAUUUAUCAUUACAGUAUCAGAUCUUCAGUCAGGUUAUAUAGUGCUGAUGUGUGUAGUGUUUGUUAUAGAUCAGACACACGUUCACACUAAUGACUGUCUCUAUUUAUCAUUACAGUAUCAGAUCUUCAGUCAGGUUAUAUAGUGCUGAUGUGUGUAGUGUUUGUUAUAGAUCAGACACACGUUCACACUAAUGACUGUCUCUAUUUAUCAUUACAGUAUCAGAUCUUCAGUCAGGUUAUAUAGUGCUGAUGUGUGUAGUGUUUGUUAUAGAUCAGACACACGUUCACACUAAUGACUGUCUCUAUUUGUCAUUACAGUAUCAGAUCUUCAGUCAGGUUAUAUAGUGCUGAUGUGUGUAGUGUUUGUUAUAGAUCAGA
Long non-coding RNA from Labeo rohita (rohu), 988 nucleotides. RefSeq lists it as uncharacterized. The record is from RefSeq and is a predicted model, not a curated record. The transcript is spliced from 3 exons. Lineage: Eukaryota; Metazoa; Chordata; Actinopteri; Cypriniformes; Cyprinidae.